This 452-nucleotide small RNA is filed under the name Corynebacterium maris DSM 45190. RNAcentral describes it as "cspA thermoregulator". It matches the Rfam family "cspA thermoregulator". The record is from Rfam by way of RNAcentral. Lineage: Bacteria; Bacillati; Actinomycetota; Actinomycetes; Mycobacteriales; Corynebacteriaceae.
ACUGGGUGUUGGUCGCGAUUCUGUGCGCAGUUCAAUAAAAGGUGCUCGCAAAAGAAGUACACGCGAGCACCAGGUUUCCGCCUUAGCGGAGGUCUGGUGGUUCGGUACGACCCGGGGAUCGAUUCAUCUGUCGAUAACCGCCAAACCUAGUUUAUCCCGAGAAGGUAUAUCAUCAUGGCAACUGGAACUGUUAAGUGGUUCAACGCUGAAAAGGGCUUCGGCUUCAUCGCUCCGGACGACGGCUCCUCCGACGUCUUCGUCCACUACUCCGAGAUCCAGGGCGCGGGCUUCCGCACCCUCGAGGAGAACCAGCAGGUUGAGUUCGAGGUCGGCGAAGGCGCCAAGGGCCCGCAGGCUCAGCAGGUUCACCCGCUCUAAGCGAGCGUCGACGGUUCUGACGUAGAACCAGUCUGAUCGCUGAAACCGCCCCGGCACAUGCCGGGGCGGUUUUG